UUAGUUGAGGAACAACUUUAGGCUGGUCAUAUAAAAUCAAUGCUUAGUCCUUGAAACACCCCCAUUUUUGUUAUUUUAAAAAAGUCAGGUAAUUGGAGUUUAC
RNAcentral lists this small RNA (103 nucleotides) under Marmota monax (woodchuck). The record is from RNAcentral. Lineage: Eukaryota; Metazoa; Chordata; Mammalia; Rodentia; Sciuridae.